UACGUAGGGUGCAAGCGUUAAUCGGAAUUACUGGGCGUAAAGCGUGCGCAGGCGGUUAUGUAAGACAGGUGUGAAAUCCCCGGGCUUAACCUGGGAACUGCAUUUGUGACUGCAUAGCUAGAGUACGGUAAAGGGGGAUGGAAUUCCGCGUGUAGCAGUGAAAUGCGUAGAUAUGCGGAGGAACACCGAUGGCGAAGGCAAUCCCCUGGACCUGUACUGACGCUCAUGCACGAAAGCGUGGGGAGCAAACAGG
This 253-nucleotide ribosomal RNA is filed under the name uncultured bacterium. RNAcentral's name for it is "partial 16S ribosomal RNA". It matches the Rfam family "Bacterial small subunit ribosomal RNA", at positions 524 to 776 of the family's 1533-position model. The record is from RNAcentral.